GAUGAACGCUGGCGGCGUGCCUAAUACAUGCAAGUCGAGCGAACAGACGAGGAGCUUGCUCCUCUGACGUUAGCGGCGGACGGGUGAGUAACACGUGGAUAACCUACCUAUAAGACUGGGAUAACUUCGGGAAACCGGAGCUCAUACCGGAUAACAUGUUGAACCGCAUGGUUUAACAGUGAAAGACGGUCUUGCUGUCACUUAUAGAUGGAUCCGCGCCGCAUUAGCUAGUUGGUAAGGUAACGGCUUACCAAGGCAACGAUGCGUAGCCGACCUGAGAGGGUGAUCGGCCACACUGGAACUGAGACACGGUCCAGACUCCUACGGGAGGCAGCAGUAGGGAAUCUUCGGCAAUGGGCGAAAGCCUGACGGAGCAACGCCGCGUGAGUGAAGAAGGUCUUCGGAUCGUAAAACUCUUUUAUUAGGGAAGAACAAAUGUGGAAGUAACUAUGCACGUCUUGACGGUACCUAAUCAGAAAGCCACGGCUAACUACGUG
RNAcentral lists this ribosomal RNA (497 nucleotides) under uncultured bacterium. RNAcentral describes it as "partial 16S ribosomal RNA". It matches the Rfam family "Bacterial small subunit ribosomal RNA", at positions 28 to 507 of the family's 1533-position model. The record is from RNAcentral.